CCAAAGGCCUUCUUUAAGGCCACAAAUAUACAAUAAUCCAAAUCA
Non-coding RNA from Caenorhabditis brenneri, 45 nucleotides. Lineage: Eukaryota; Metazoa; Nematoda; Chromadorea; Rhabditida; Rhabditidae. The record is from Rfam.